RNAcentral lists this ribosomal RNA (409 nucleotides) under uncultured bacterium. RNAcentral describes it as "bacterial SSU rRNA". It matches the Rfam family "Bacterial small subunit ribosomal RNA", at positions 359 to 764 of the family's 1533-position model. The record is from RNAcentral.
GGGUUUUGGCAUGGGCGAAAGCCUGAUCAGCCUGCCGCGUGUGUGAAGAAGGUCUUCGGAUUGUAAAGCACUUUAAGUUGGGAGGAAGGGCCGUUACCUAAUACGUGAUGGUUUUGACGUUACCGACAGAAUAAGCACCGGCUAACUCUGUGCCAGCAGCCGCGGUAAUACAGAGGGUGCAAGCGUUAAUCGGAAUUACUGGGCGUAAAGCGCGCGUAGGUGGUUUGUUAAGUUGGAUGUGAAAUCCCCGGGCUCAACCUGGGAACUGCAUUCAAAACUGACUGACUAGAGUAUGGUAGAGGGUGGUGGAAUUUCCUGUGUAGCGGUGAAAUGCGUAGAUAUAGGAAGGAACACCAGUGGCGAAGGCGACCACCUGGACUGAUACUGACACUGAGGUGCGAAAGCGUGG